Molecule: ribosomal RNA, 559 nt
Filed under: Staphylococcus aureus
Lineage: Bacteria; Bacillati; Bacillota; Bacilli; Caryophanales; Staphylococcaceae
Description: partial 23S ribosomal RNA
Rfam family: Bacterial large subunit ribosomal RNA
Source: RNAcentral
AAGUGAGAAUGCCGGUGUGAGUAGCGAAAGACGGGUGAGAAUCCCGUCCACCGAUUGACUAAGGUUUCCAGAGGAAGGCUCGUCCGCUCUGGGUUAGUCGGGUCCUAAGCUGAGGCCGACAGGCGUAGGCGAUGGAUAACAGGUUGAUAUUCCUGUACCACCUAUAAUCGUUUUAAUCGAUGGGGGGACGCAGUAGGAUAGGCGAAGCGUGCGAUUGGAUUGCACGUCUAAGCAGUAAGGCUGAGUAUUAGGCAAAUCCGGUACUCGUUAAGGCUGAGCUGUGAUGGGGAGAAGACAUUGUGUCUUCGAGUCGUUGAUUUCACACUGCCGAGAAAAGCCUCUAGAUAGAAAAUAGGUGCCCGUACCGCAAACCGACACAGGUAGUCAAGAUGAGAAUUCUAAGGUGAGCGAGCGAACUCUCGUUAAGGAACUCGGCAAAAUGACCCCGUAACUUCGGGAGAAGGGGUGCUCUUUAGGGUUAACGCCCAGAAGAGCCGCAGUGAAUAGGCCCAAGCGACUGUUUAUCAAAAACACAGGUCUCUGCUAAACCGUAAGGUGA